GGCGGCAUGCUUAACACAUGCAAGUCGCACGGCUGGGGUAACCCAGCAGUGGCGGACGGGUGAGUAACGCGUAGGUAUCUAUCUCCGGGUGGGGGACAACUGUGGGAAACUACAGCUAAUACCGCAUGAUGCCCGAGGGCCAAAGGCGCAAGUCGCCUGGAGAGGAGCCUGCGUACGAUUAGCUAGUUGGCGGGGUAAAGGCCCACCAAGGCGACGAUCGUUAGCUGGUCUGAGAGGAUGAUCAGCCACACUGGGACUGAGACACGGCCCAGACUCCUACGGGAGGCAGCAGUGGGGAAUAUUGGACAAUGGGCGCAAGCCUGAUCCAGCAAUGCCGCGUGAGUGAAGAAGGUCUUCGGAUUGUAAAGCUCUUUCGACGGGGACGAUGAUGACGGUACCCGUAGAAGAAGCCCCGGCUAACUUCGUGCCAGCAGCCGCGGUAAUACGAAGGGGGCUAGCGUUGCUCGGAAUGACUGGGCGUAAAGGGCGCGUANGCGGUUCGUACAGUCAGACGUGAAAUUCCCGGGCUCAACCUGGGGACUGCGUUUGAUACGUGCGGGCUUGA
RNAcentral lists this ribosomal RNA (565 nucleotides) under uncultured Alphaproteobacteria bacterium. Its description in RNAcentral is "bacterial SSU rRNA". It matches the Rfam family "Bacterial small subunit ribosomal RNA", at positions 38 to 645 of the family's 1533-position model. The record is from RNAcentral. Lineage: Bacteria; Pseudomonadati; Pseudomonadota; Alphaproteobacteria.